UGCACUGAUGCUAAAGUAGUCGAUGAACAGGCUUUAAUUGAGGGAGCAAUGUCAAUAUUGCUUACCGCCCAGGGAGGAGCCAACCUGAAUCACGACGUCG
Molecule: non-coding RNA, 100 nt
Organism: Firmicutes bacterium ML8_F2
Lineage: Bacteria; Bacillati; Bacillota
Source: Rfam